GGGGGUAUAGCCCAGACGGUAUCCAUGCAAGUGUAUACUCGGGCAGCCAGGCAGGGCGACAGGCUCCAGACCUGUAGACCGUCGGUUCAAAUCCGACUACCCCCACCA
This 108-nucleotide transfer RNA is filed under the name Nitrososphaerota archaeon. RNAcentral describes it as "tRNA-Trp". It matches the Rfam family "tRNA". From Rfam's summary of the family: Transfer RNA (tRNA) molecules are approximately 80 nucleotides in length. The record is from RNAcentral. Lineage: Archaea; Thermoproteati; Nitrososphaerota.